UACGUAGGGGGCAAGCGUUAUCCGGAUUCACUGGGUGUAAAGGGAGCGUAGACGGCGACGCAAGUCUGGAGUGAAAGCCCGGGGCCCAACCCCGGGACUGCUCUGGGAACUGUGCGGCUGGAGUGCGGGAGGGGCAGGCGGAAUUCCUGGUGUAGCGGUGAAAUGCGUAGAUAUCAGGAGGAACACCGGCGGCGAAGGCGGCCUGCUGGACCGCGACUGACGUUGAGGCUCGAAAGCGUGGGGAGCAAACAGG
RNAcentral lists this ribosomal RNA (253 nucleotides) under uncultured bacterium. RNAcentral describes it as "partial 16S ribosomal RNA". It matches the Rfam family "Bacterial small subunit ribosomal RNA", at positions 524 to 776 of the family's 1533-position model. The record is from RNAcentral.